RNAcentral lists this ribosomal RNA (256 nucleotides) under uncultured bacterium. RNAcentral describes it as "partial 16S ribosomal RNA". It matches the Rfam family "Bacterial small subunit ribosomal RNA", at positions 524 to 776 of the family's 1533-position model. The record is from RNAcentral.
UACGUAGGGUGCAAGCGUUAAUCGGAAUUACUGGGCGUAAAGCGUGCGCAGGCGGUGAUGUAAGACAGGUGUGAAAUCCCCGGGCUUAACCUGGGAACUGCAUUUGUGACUGCAUCGCUGGAGUGCGGCAGAGGGGGGAUGGAAUUCCGCGUGUAGCAGUGAAAUGCGUAGAUAUGCGGAGGAACACCGAUGGCGAAGGCAAUCCCCCUGGGCCUGCACUGACGCUCCAUGCACGAAAGCGUGGGGAGCAAACAGG